Molecule: long non-coding RNA, 1375 nt
Organism: Brassica napus (rape)
Lineage: Eukaryota; Viridiplantae; Streptophyta; Magnoliopsida; Brassicales; Brassicaceae
Exons: 3
Source: RefSeq, a predicted model, not a curated record
AAUGGGUUUUAGACCUCUAAGACCAUCAUUAUCGGGAAUCCUUAAUGGAGUCCUUAGAUAAAAUUGAUGAUUUAAUUAAAUCAAAAUAAAAGAAAAGGGUUGUUAUCGAUCCUUAAUGGGGUAUUUUGGUGACCGGUUUUAAGUGUGGUUUUUCAACCACGUGUCAACACCAUAUUUUUUCUUUCUCUCUGCUUUGGUCAUCGUCUUCUUGUUUUCUCCGUUGGAGCUCUCCUCCACGAUCCUCCGUCUUCAGGUCGUCUCCGUGGCUGAGCUCAAGUGGUGGUAUCUUGUCCCGAAGCUCCAGAGUCGUCGCUUCUCCGUUACCAGCUCGCCGUCGCGUCUCACAUCCGCCUUGGGUCUUCUUCAUCCUUGUCGACUCAGGCUUGGCUCGUGGUGGUGAUUGAGUUCGUCUUCAGGCCAGCAGCACCGGACUCGCCCUCUGCAACUCCGGCCACUACCCAAUGCUUGCUUACUUUGCUAUCGCUGAGAACGAGUCCAUUGGUCGCGAACGCUACAACUUCAUGCAGGCUUUGGCAAUCAAAGCAGCAGGGAAGGCGUGGUAGCAGACUAUGAUCUCCGACAGACUACACCGAGUUUGAGAGUUGAGGUAAUCGAUCAAAACUUUACUCUUCUUCAACUCUUUCUUUUUUCUUUACUGCUCUUGUUAAUAAAUGCUUGUUUGAGUUAGGUUGUGGUUAGGGAAAACGUGUCUGAGUUAGGUUGUGGUUAGGAUUGUUUGCUUGGUAAUAAAUAUGUUAGAUUCAUGUCAAAAUGUUAGGAUUGCUUGCUUGUUUGAGUUAGGUUGUGGUUAGGAUUUUUAUUUUAAGAAUCCUUAAUUAAGAAACUCCCAUUGGAGGCACAAAAUCGAAUAAUUUCUUAAGUAAAGUUCUUAAGUCCACUAAAGUACAUUUAUAUACUUAAAUAAUCCUUAAGAAACACAAAUGGGUUUCUGUGGAUAAUCAUGCUCUAAUCUUAUAUACCGUGAGUUCCCAGAUUAGACCUAAAAUCUUUCUUAGAUUUGGAGUAAACAUGUUAAAUUUGGAUUUAUCAUAAACUUAAACCAGUUGUUGAUAAGUAAAUAGGAAAAAAAUAUAAGUGAACAAAAUAGCAAGAAUAAAAAAAAUGGUUGUUCAUUCUCAAAUUUAGCAAAAAAUAAUUUUGUUCUUUAUUUCUCUACAAAAAAAUGAAAGGAAAUGAAAAGGAAAAAAUAUUCUUUGUGAAUGAUAAUUUUUUUAGGAACUUUAAAAAAUGCAUUAUUUUCCAUCAUUUCUUAGUCACUAUUCAUACCCUGAUUAAAUAUAAUCUUUUAUACUAAAAAUAGUUUGAACCUAGGGCACAAUAAACCAACCCUUUGUACUUACCAAUGUGCUACUAA